AUAUUUUUGAAGAUAAAUCUGAAAACAGAGGGUCAAAAUACAAUUUAAAAAAGUUACUCUACGUCAGUUGCCUAGUCAGCAACCCCGACCAACCAAGACACACCAGGUGGCAGAGACGCUAAUGCGGGGGGAGCCACGUGGGCGAUCCGUGUGCACGCGAUGGAACGGUUGAGAUCCAUUCCCGCGCACACGGACGGCCCAGAUCAAAAACUCGCACGGACGGCCUAGAUUGCAUCGCGCACGGACAACCCAAAUUGAAUCGCGAUGAAAGGUCCAGAUUCACUCCCAAUUUAAUGACGAUCAGACGGUCCAGAUUAAAUACGAUGGACGACCCAAAUCAAAAACAGAUGAGUAUAAAUAAUCUCGUCCUCACCCAAACCCUAAGCCUAGCCUCCAGAGCCCCUCGCCAGAGAAGACAGCCCAGCCACUAGGGAGCAGACUACCGCCACCGCACCGAAGCAAUUUUUGGCCGCCAAAC
RNAcentral lists this long non-coding RNA (478 nucleotides) under Carica papaya (papaya). RNAcentral's name for it is "long non-coding RNA (CPAP_LNC002304)". The record is from RNAcentral. Lineage: Eukaryota; Viridiplantae; Streptophyta; Magnoliopsida; Brassicales; Caricaceae.